Molecule: ribosomal RNA, 424 nt
Filed under: uncultured bacterium
Lineage: Bacteria
Description: bacterial SSU rRNA
Rfam family: Bacterial small subunit ribosomal RNA
Source: RNAcentral
GCUAGGAAUCUUGGGAAUGGGCGAAAGCCUGACCCAGCAACGCCGCGUGGGCGAUGAAGGCCUUCGGGUCGUAAAGCCCUUUUGUAGGGGACGAUGAUGACGGUACCCUGCGAAUAAGCCACGGCUAACUACGUGCCAGCAGCCGCGGUAAUACGUAGGUGGCAAGCGUUGUCCGGAUUUACUGGGCGUAAAGGGCGUGCAGGCGGUUUGUUAAGUUCAGGGUGAAAGCUCCCGGCUCAACUGGGAGAGGUCCUUGGAUACUGGCAGACUUGAGGAGGGUAGAGGAGAGUGGAAUUCCCGGUGUAGUGGUGAUAUGCGUAGAUAUCGGGAGGAACACCAGUGGCGAAGGCGGCUCUCUGGGCCCUACCUGACGCUGAGACGCGAAAGCGUGGGGAGCGAACCGGAUUAGAAACCCCUGUAGUCC